UUAAGCGACUAAGCGUACACGGUGGAUGCCCUGGCAGUCAGAGGCGAUGAAGGACGUGCUAAUCUGCGAUAAGCGUCGGUGAGGUGAUAUGAACCGUUAUAACCGGCGAUUUCCGAAUGGGGAAACCCAGUGUGUUUCGACACACUAUCAUUAACUGAAUCCAUAGGUUAAUGAGGCGAACCGGGGGAACUGAAACAUCUAAGUACCCCGAGGAAAAGAAAUCAACCGAGAUUCCCCCAGUAGCGGCGAGCGAACGGGGAGGAGCCCAGAGCCUGAAUCAGUGUGUGUGUUAGUGGAAGCGUCUGGAAAGGCGCGCGAUACAGGGUGACAGCCCCGUACACAAAAAUGCACAUAUUGUGAGCUCGAUGAGUAGGGCGGGACACGUGGUAUCCUGUCUGAAUAUGGGGGGACCAUCCUCCAAGGCUAAAUACUCCUGACUGACCGAUAGUGAACCAGUACCGUGAGGGAAAGGCGAAAAGAACCCCGGCGAGGGGAGUGAAAAAGAACCUGAAACCGUGUACGUACAAGCAGUGGGAGCCUCUUAAUGGGGUGACUGCGUACCUUUUGUAUAAUGGGUCAGCGACUUAUAUUCUGUAGCAAGGUUAACCGAAUAGGGGAGCCGAAGGGAAACCGAGUCUUAACUGGGCGUUAAGUUGCAGGGUAUAGACCCGAAACCCGGUGAUCUAGCCAUGGGCAGGUUGAAGGUUGGGUAACACUAACUGGAGGACCGAACCGACUAAUGUUGAAAAAUUAGCGGAUGACUUGUGGCUGGGGGUGAAAGGCCAAUCAAACCGGGAGAUAGCUGGUUCUCCCCGAAAGCUAUUUAGGUAGCGCCUCGUGAAUUCAUCUCCGGGGGUAGAGCACUGUUUCGGCAAGGGGGUCAUCCCGACUUACCAACCCGAUGCAAACUGCGAAUACCGGAGAAUGUUAUCACGGGAGACACACGGCGGGUGCUAACGUCCGUCGUGAAGAGGGAAACAACCCAGACCGCCAGCUAAGGUCCCAAAGUCAUGGUUAAGUGGGAAACGAUGUGGGAAGGCCCAGACAGCCAGGAUGUUGGCUUAGAAGCAGCCAUCAUUUAAAGAAAGCGUAAUAGCUCACUGGUCGAGUCGGCCUGCGCGGAAGAUGUAACGGGGCUAAACCAUGCACCGAAGCUGCGGCAGCGACACUAUGUGUUGUUGGGUAGGGGAGCGUUCUGUAAGCCUGUGAAGGUGGCCUGUGAGGGUUGCUGGAGGUAUCAGAAGUGCGAAUGCUGACAUAAGUAACGAUAAAGCGGGUGAAAAGCCCGCUCGCCGGAAGACCAAGGGUUCCUGUCCAACGUUAAUCGGGGCAGGGUGAGUCGACCCCUAAGGCGAGGCCGAAAGGCGUAGUCGAUGGGAAACAGGUUAAUAUUCCUGUACUUGGUGUUACUGCGAAGGGGGGACGGAGAAGGCUAUGUUGGCCGGGCGACGGUUGUCCCGGUUUAAGCGUGUAGGCUGGUUUUCCAGGCAAAUCCGGAAAACCAAGGCUGAGGCGUGAUGACGAGGCACUACGGUGCUGAAGCGACAAAUGCCCUGCUUCCAGGAAAAGCCUCUAAGCAUCAGGUAACAUCAAAUCGUACCCCAAACCGACACAGGUGGUCAGGUAGAGAAUACCAAGGCGCUUGAGAGAACUCGGGUGAAGGAACUAGGCAAAAUGGUGCCGUAACUUCGGGAGAAGGCACGCUGAUAUGUAGGUGAAGCGACUUGCUCGUGGAGCUGAAAUCAGUCGAAGAUACCAGCUGGCUGCAACUGUUUAUUAAAAACACAGCACUGUGCAAACACGAAAGUGGACGUAUACGGUGUGACGCCUGCCCGGUGCCGGAAGGUUAAUUGAUGGGGUUAGCGGCAACGCGAAGCUCUUGAUCGAAGCCCCGGUAAACGGCGGCCGUAACUAUAACGGUCCUAAGGUAGCGAAAUUCCUUGUCGGGUAAGUUCCGACCUGCACGAAUGGCGUAAUGAUGGCCAGGCUGUCUCCACCCGAGACUCAGUGAAAUUGAACUCGCUGUGAAGAUGCAGUGUACCCGCGGCAAGACGGAAAGACCCCGUGAACCUUUACUAUAGCUUGACACUGAACAUUGAGCCUUGAUGUGUAGGAUAGGUGGGAGGCUUUGAAGUGUGGACGCCAGUCUGCAUGGAGCCGACCUUGAAAUACCACCCUUUAAUGUUUGAUGUUCUAACGUUGGCCCGUAAUCCGGGUUGCGGACAGUGUCUGGUGGGUAGUUUGACUGGGGCGGUCUCCUCCUAAAGAGUAACGGAGGAGCACGAAGGUUGGCUAAUCCUGGUCGGACAUCAGGAGGUUAGUGCAAUGGCAUAAGCCAGCUUGACUGCGAGCGUGACGGCGCGAGCAGGUGCGAAAGCAGGUCAUAGUGAUCCGGUGGUUCUGAAUGGAAGGGCCAUCGCUCAACGGAUAAAAGGUACUCCGGGGAUAACAGGCUGAUACCGCCCAAGAGUUCAUAUCGACGGCGGUGUUUGGCACCUCGAUGUCGGCUCAUCACAUCCUGGGGCUGAAGUAGGUCCCAAGGGUAUGGCUGUUCGCCAUUUAAAGUGGUACGCGAGCUGGGUUUAGAACGUCGUGAGACAGUUCGGUCCCUAUCUGCCGUGGGCGCUGGAGAACUGAGGGGGGCUGCUCCUAGUACGAGAGGACCGGAGUGGACGCAUCACUGGUGUUCGGGUUGUCAUGCCAAUGGCACUGCCCGGUAGCUAAAUGCGGAAGAGAUAAGUGCUGAAAGCAUCUAAGCACGAAACUUGCCCCGAGAUGAGUUCUCCCUGAGACUUAGAGUCUCCUGAAGGAACGUUGAAGACGACGACGUUGAUAGGCCGGGUGUGUAAGCGCAGCGAUGCGUUGAGCUAACCGGUACUAAUGAACCGUGAGGCUUAACCUU
This 2902-nucleotide ribosomal RNA is filed under the name Escherichia coli. RNAcentral describes it as "bacterial LSU rRNA". It matches the Rfam family "Bacterial large subunit ribosomal RNA". Lineage: Bacteria; Pseudomonadati; Pseudomonadota; Gammaproteobacteria; Enterobacterales; Enterobacteriaceae. RNAcentral also lists the same sequence under 7 other names. The record is from RNAcentral.